This 916-nucleotide ribosomal RNA is filed under the name uncultured organism. RNAcentral describes it as "bacterial SSU rRNA". It matches the Rfam family "Bacterial small subunit ribosomal RNA", at positions 462 to 1393 of the family's 1533-position model. The record is from RNAcentral.
AUGCGGUAUGACGGUACCCUUUCGAAUAAGAGGUUGCUAACUCUGUGCCAGCAGCAGCGGUAAUACAGAGACCUCGAGCGUUAUCCGGAUUUACUGGGCGUAAAGCGUCUGUAGGGGGUUUGUUAAGUUCCAAGUAAAAUCUUAAGGCUCAACUUUAAGUUCGCUUGGAAAACUAAUAAACUGGAGUCCAGCAGAGGUGCAUGGAACUUGCGGUGUAGGAGUGAAAUCCGUUGAUAUCGCAAGGAACACCAAAGGCGAAGGCAUUGCACUGGGCUGGUACUGACCCUGAGAGACGAAAGCGUGGGGAGCAAAACGGAUUAGAUACCCGUGUAGUCCACGCCGUAAACGAUGGAUACUAGAUGUUCGGGGAUUCGACCCCCUGGGUGUCACAGCUAACGCGUUAAGUAUCCCGCCUGGGAAGUACGGCCGCAAGGCUAAAACUCAAAGGAAUAGACGGGGAUCCGCACAAGCGGUGGAGCGUCUGGUUUAAUUUGAUAGUAAGCAAUGGACCUCACCAAGGUUUGACAUCCUAUGACAACCCUGGAAACAGGGCUUCCUUCGGGCAUAGUGACAGGUGCUGCAUGGUCGUCGUCAGUUCGUGCCAUGAGGUGUUCCGUUAAGUCGGGAAACGAACGAAACCCUCGUCGCAUGUUACAAAUUUCAUGCGAGACUGCCCGGGUCAACCGGGAGGAAGGCGGGGAUGACGUCAGAUCAGCAUGGCCCUUAUACCUUGGGCUACACUGGCGCUACAAUGGCCGGUACAAAGGGUUGCAAAACCGCGAGGUGAAGCUAAUCCCAUAAAGCCGGUCCAAGUUCGGAUUGGAGGCUGCAACUCGCCUCCAUGAAGUUGGAAUCGCUAGUAAUCGUGGAUCAGCCAUACCACGGUGAAUACGUUCCCGGAUCUUGUACUCGCCGC